Molecule: long non-coding RNA, 397 nt
Organism: Telopea speciosissima
Lineage: Eukaryota; Viridiplantae; Streptophyta; Magnoliopsida; Proteales; Proteaceae
Exons: 3
Source: RefSeq, a predicted model, not a curated record
UCUCAAGCAUUGAGGCAUUCAUUCAUCACAGGCAAGUGACCAAAGAUGCUGAUUUUAUGAUCCCAGAAAUGCUGUUGAGCUAGAUACAUGUACAUUAUGAUCUCAAUUUAUUUUUAGCUCUCUAAUCAUUGGGCAUUUCUCUGUCUUUAUCUCUCUGUGAUUGCCUAAGAGGAUUGACACAGUGUUAUUGGCGUGGAUGAAAUGCGAAGAAGAUGAUGUUUGGUCUGAAGACCUUCCUACAUGGCGGUUCUUUCAGUGGGAUGGCUUCUGUUUCUAUUGGUUUCAUCCAGGGCUAUGACGCAACCAAUCAGUGCUUUACAUGCUUAGAAGGCAACCAAAAGAAGGCUUUUGCACUGGCGAUGAGAGGUUGCAGUGUUGCAGUUAAUGUUCAAAUUGG